Myotis lucifugus (little brown bat) is the source of this 869-nucleotide long non-coding RNA. RefSeq lists it as uncharacterized. The transcript is spliced from 2 exons. NCBI's taxonomy places the organism in Eukaryota, Metazoa, Chordata, Mammalia, Chiroptera, Vespertilionidae. The record is from RefSeq and is a predicted model, not a curated record.
AAUACUGAAUGGGCCAGCCACAGCGGCUGGGAAAAGUGAAUUUCAUAACCAGAAGUCAAAGCUGGAGAACAAAGCAUGUUAAUGCAACCCUGGACCUGAUCAAGGGCAGCAUGACUUUAUAUCACCACAUAUUCAUCUAUCUUUAUACCAAUUGUACUGUUUUCAUCACCGUAACUUUAUAUUGUGACUUGAAAUCAGGCAGACUGAUGGUGGUCCUGACUAUGGACACUACGGUGGCCUGUGAAGCAGCCCCAGCCCCUCUUGGCCACAGUCCAGGAGCCUCUGAAAACACUGAUGCGAGAGCCUGUAUGGAAGUCCAUGUUUCCAGAAGAGAAGUUCCAGCACACCAUUGGAAUAAAAGAGAAAAGAAUUACAGGUUUGGGUGCAUUGGAGUGGAUAAGAAUAGCCUGACUUUACCUUCAUCACUCCUUCUCCAAGGCAGCAGUUUAGGGCCAAAAGGGAUUUUUUUCAGCCUGUGAUUUCUCCCAUGGGGGAAAAAGUUGAGCCUGUGAGUGAACACCUGCUUCCCCGGCUGUGUGAGCCGCUGCCAAAGAGGCUCAUUUCUGUCUUGCCCCAUCCAGGGGACUGAAUCAUAAGCCAAGUGACUGGGGGGUGGGAAGAGUCUGGGAGAGAGGCAGACAGGACUCUCAGAGGGCAUGAAAGGCACUAGGAUCAUAACUAACCCCAUUCCGGACUCCAUCUUAAGACCUGCUAGGUAUGCCUCACUUGGAGAUCCCCCCAACUAGCCCAGGUGCACCCCCCAGUGCUCCUCAUGCCUUGGCCAUACACACUAUUCAGAGCAGUUUUAGGUUUCCAGAAAAAUUGAGCAUAAAGUAUGAAGGGUUUUUAUAAACAUACAGUUUAUAACA